This 4131-nucleotide ribosomal RNA is filed under the name Patescibacteria group bacterium. Its description in RNAcentral is "23S ribosomal RNA". It matches the Rfam family "Bacterial large subunit ribosomal RNA". The record is from RNAcentral.
GAUUAGAGAAAAUAGAGCAUAUGGUGGAUACCUCGACACCAAAAGCCGAUGAAGGACGUAGCAGCCUGCGAUAAGCCUCGGGAAGGUGGCAAGCAACCUUUGAUCCGGGGAUUUCCGAAUGGGGAAACCUGAUUAUGCAAAACAUAAUCGUCCUUAUUUUAAAUAAGGAAGGGAACCUGGGGAAGUGAAACAUCUCAGUACCCAGAGGAGAGGAAAAGGAAUUGUUUCGCAAUUCUUUAUAAUUACAAAGGGCGAAUCAAAUGGAAAAAUAUUAAUUUUUACAUUUGUAAGCCCUGCCGUAAUUUCAAGAUUUUUUUAUAAAUUUUAAACUUUUGUUUAUUAUUUAUAUUCUAAUUGCGAAGCGAAUAUUCCCUGAGUAGUGGCGAGCGAAAAGGGAACAGUCUAAACCUUAGAGAAUCUUAGCUAUUUUCGAGGUCUGUCUUCGGACAGAUUCUCCUAAAUAGUAAAAGGUGGCAAGGCCAAAAUAUUUUCUAAGGGGUUGUGGGGUAGUUAACAUUUUAUUACUUGCUUAAUAGAAUUAGAUUUUAAAUUCUUAAUUGAAUGGUCUGGAAUGGCCAACUAAAAAAGGUAAAAGUCCUGUAAAUGAAAAGCUUUUAAAUUUUGAUAGUUAAUUAUUUCCGAGUAGUGCUGGACACGUGAAAUCCAGUAUGAAUCAAGGCGGACUAUCGCCUAAGACUAAAUACUUUUGGUGAUCUAUAGUGAACUAGUACCGUGAGGGAAAGGUGAAAAGUAGCCCGGUGAGGGCGGUGAAAUAGUACUUGAAACCAUAUGCUAAUUAAGAGUCAGAGCCCUUUUGGGGUGAUGGCGUUCCUAUUGAAGAAUGAACCAACGAGUUUUACUUACUAGUUUGGUUAAGUCUAAAUAUAGACGAAGCCGUAGUGAAAGCAAGCGUUAAAAGCGCGAUAUUAGAUUAGUGGGUAAAGACCCGAAACCGAGUGAGCUAUCCAUGGCCAGGGUGAGUCCUAGAGAAGUCUAGGAGGAGGCCCGAACCCGUUGGCCGUGCAACACCAUGGGAUGAGCUGUGGAUAGGGGUAAAAAGCCAAUCGAACUCGGUAAUAGCUGGUUCUCCCCGAAAUAGCUGUAGGGCUAGCCUGUCUUGUAAACUUUGGAGGUAGAGCUACUGAUUGGGUGUGGGUGGAGUAAUCCUACUGCAUCCAACCAAACUCCGAAUGCCAAAGCUUAAUAAGAUGGAGUCAGACUAUGGGGGCUAAGCUCCAUUGGUCUAAAGGGAAACAGCCCAGAUCUCAAUCUAAGGUCCCUAAAUCUGAGUUAAGUGUGAAAGGUGGUGAAAUGACUUCGACAAUCAGGAGGUUGGCUUAGAAGCAGCCAUCCUUUAAAGAAAGCGUAACAGCUCACUGAUUAAGUUGUCUUGCGCCGAAAAUGUACCGGGGCUAAAUUCAGUACCGAAGAUGAGGGUGUCUUCUUUUAUUAGAAGGCGCGGUAGGGGAGCAUUCUCUAGGCAGUGAAGUCGAAUCGUAAGGUUCGGUGGAGCGUAGAGAAGAGAGAAUGUUGGUAUGAGUAAUAAAAAGUUCGGUGAGAAACCGAACCACCGCAAGUCCAAGGUUUCCUGGGCACUGAUUGUCAACCCAGGGUUAGGCGGUCCUAAGUCUCUGGCCGAAAGGUCGAGUCGAUGGACAGACGGUCAAUAUUCCGUCCCUAAUAUUAGUUUCCAAUGGAAUGACGCUUCUUCAAGCUUCAAGUGUGUUCUGGCUAUACGCGUUUAAAUAACGGGUGGGCUUUCUAGGCAAAUCCGGAGAGUGUAAAGCCUGUUAUAAAUAAAAUCCUCGCAAGGGGAAAUUUGAGGGGAGAGGGGGCCAAGAAAAGUUUCUAGGGCUAAGCUAAUAUUAACCGUACCGCAAACCAACACAGGUGGACGAGGAGAGUAUCCUCAGGUGUACGAGAGAAUCUUCGUUAAGGAACUCGGCAAAAAAGCGUCCGUAACUUCGGGAUAAGGACUGGUUCGGCUCACGCCGAACCCGCAGCAAAAGUAGCUGGGCGACUGUUUAUCAAAAACAUAGGUCCCUGCUCAAACCGUAAGGUGAUGCAUAGGGGCUGAUGCCUGGCCAGUGUCAGAACGUUAAGGGGAGGGGUGAUCCCUUUUAGGGUGAGCUCUGAACUUAAGCGCUGAUGAACGCCGGCCGUAACUAUAACGGUCCUAAGGUAGCGAAAUCCCUUGUCGGGUAAGUUCCGACCUGCAUGAAUGGCAUAACGACCUGGCAACUGUCUCAACGAAGACCUCGAUGAAAUUGCAAUAGUCGUGAAGAUGCGACUUAUCCACGGUUAGACGAAAAGACCCCGUGAAGCUUUACUAUAGCUUAAUAUUGGAUUGGGGAUGUGCAUGUUCAGAAUAGGUGGGAGAUCUUCGGAUCAACAGUGAGAUACCACCCUUGUAUGUUGCUAAUCCUAAUCCCAAUUUAUUUGGGAGACAGUAUUUGGUAGGUAGUUUAUCUGGGGCGGAUGCCUCAACCAGUUACAAUUUCUCCGUUUUAUUGUAACUAAGGGGCCUUUCAAUCGAAAGGUUGAAAGCAAACUGGCUAUAUGCUGGAACAUCUGUUUAAUUCUAAUAAACCCAAUUAAGAAAGGGUAAAAUUUAUUAGAAAGAACUUUAAAUAGUCGACAGAUAAUCAGCAGGGAAGUCUAUAUAAUGACCCCUCAACGACUAUACGCCAGGUUCCUUGAUAUUUUUAAGGAAUAUGAUAUAGUCUGAUCUUUCAGGCGACUGAAAGACCUGAAUCACCUUUAAUGGAAAAACUUAAAACCGUCUUUAAGUAGGUUCAGGACCUAAUUUAUAUUAUAUGUAUUUAAGUUCAAUUGAAAAUUACAAAAAGAAUUUAAAGUUAACUAAACGGCAAAGGCAGAUUAUAAUUGGUAAAUUAUUGGGUGAUGGACACCUUGAAACAGAAAACAACGGGAGAACGUAUCGAUUAAAAAUAGAACAUUCUUUUGUUCAAAAAGAUUAUGUUGAUUGGUGUUAUUAUGAAUUAAAAGACUGGGUUAGAACAAAACCGCAAACAAAAAAGCAAAAAGUGAAUGGAAAGACAUAUCAGAAAUAUUGGUUCAACACUUUGAGCCAUGGCGCUUUUCGGUUUUACGCUCAUCAGUUUUAUCAGGAUAAAAAGAAAAUUGUUCCUAAAUUAAUUCAUAGAUGGCUAACGCCAUUAAGUUUAGCGGUUUGGUUUAUGGAUGAUGGGUCAAUAAAGUCCAGGAAUCACAGAGCAAGGAUAAUCAACACUCAAGGGUUUAGAAAGAAAGAGGUUCAGAAAUUAAGCAAAGUUUUAGAGGAAACAUUUGCCUUAAAAUGCAAAUUAAGAAAACAAAAAGAAGGCUAUCAGAUCAUGAUUUUAGCUGAAUCAGCCGAUAGGUUUGCUCGCAUUAUUAAAGACUUCAUUCAUCCAUCAAUGAAUUAUAAAAUUAAAGGAUUAGGUUAACACAAAUGCCUAAAAGGUAACGGAGGCGUUUAAAGGUCAGCUUAGCGCGGAUGGAAAUCGUGCUGGACGUGUAAAGGCACAAGCUGGCUUGACGGCAAGACUUACAAGUCGCGCCGAGAGGAAACUCGAACUUAGUGAACCGACACUUGCUCAUAGUAGCGGUGAAGAUUAUCGGAUAAAAGCUACUCCGGGGAUAACAGGCUGGUUUCGCCCGAGAGUUCAUAUCGACGGCGAAGUUCGGCACCUCGAUGUCGGCUCAUCGCAUCCUGGGGGUGUAGAAGCUCCCAAGGGUUUGGCUGUUCGCCAAUUAAAGCGGUACGCGAGCUGGGUUCAGAACGUCGUAAGACAGUUCGGUCUCCUAUCUACCGUGGACGUUCGAAACUUGAGAGGGCCCUUCAAUAGUACGAGAGGACCUUGAAGGACGAACCUCUAGUGUACCAGUUGUCCUGCCAAGGGCAUUGCUGGGUAGCUACGUUCGGUUUGGAUAAACGCUGAAAGCAUAUAAGCGUGAAGCCGUCCUCAAGAUUAAGUUUCGUAUCUCACCGCUUUGAUUAGAAACAAUUGUUUCCGAGCAAAGUGGUGAGAGAAAGGCUCCUGGGAGAAUACCAGGUAUAUAGGCUCUAAGUGUAUGACCGGCAACGGUUUUAGCUGAGGAGUCCUAAUCAGCCAAAUCUCUAAUUCA